RNAcentral lists this ribosomal RNA (943 nucleotides) under uncultured archaeon. Its description in RNAcentral is "bacterial SSU rRNA". It matches the Rfam family "Archaeal small subunit ribosomal RNA", at positions 374 to 1289 of the family's 1478-position model. The record is from RNAcentral.
GCCCGUGUUAAGUGCGUCGCUGAGGGCGCCUUUGUGCUUUUUAACCAGCCGAGUGAAUAAGGGGAGGGCAAGUCUGGUGUCAGCCGCCGCGGUAAUACCAGCUCCUCGAAUGGUUGGGACGAUUAUUGGGUCUAAAGCGUCCGUAGCCGGCCGGAAAAGUUCUCCGUUAAAUCCAACGAUUCAAUCGUUGGGCUGCGGGGAAUACUCUUCGGCUUGGGGGCGAGGGAGGUCGGCGGUAGUCUCGGGGUAGGGGCGAAAUCCUAUAAUCCCGAGAGGACCACCAGUUGGCGAAGGCGGCCGACUAAAGCGCGCCCGACGGUGAGGGACGAAAGCUGGGGGAGCGAACGGGAUUAGAUACCCCGGUAGUCCCAGCUGUAAACGAUGCAGGCUAGGUGUUGGGACGGCCACGAGCUGUCCCAGUGCCGCAGGGAAGCCAUUAAGCCUGCCACCUGGGGAGUACGGUCGCAAGGCUGAAUUCUCUUUGAGCAUUCGCUCGAGAGACAGUUGACUUAAAGGAAUUGGCGGGGGAGCACCACAAGGGGUGAAGCUUGCGGUUUAAUUGGAGUCAACACCGGGAAACUUACCAGGAGCGACAGUUGGAUGAAGGUCAGAUCAAAGGUCUUACCGGACUAGCUGAGAGGAGGUGCAUGGCCGUCGCCAGUUCGUGCCGUGAGGUGUUCUCUUAAGUGAGACAACGAACGAGACCCGCACCCUUAGUUGCCAUCGGAUUCCCCUCGGGAUUCAGGCACACUAAGGGGACUGCCCACGCUAAAGUGGGAGGAAGGAACGGGGCCACGGCAGGUCAGUAUGCCCCAGAUCUCCUGGGCCACACGCGAGCUGCAAUGGAUGGGACAAUGGGAUCCGACCUCGAAAGGGGAAGGCAAUCCUCAAACCCAUCCUCAGUUGGGAUCGAGGUAAUAACCCGCCCUCGUGAACAUGAAUC